AACGAACGCUGGCGGCGUGGAUAAGACAUGCAAGUCGAGCGAGACAUUUCGGGUAGCAAUAUUCGGAAUGUUUAGCGGCGCAAGGGUGCGUAACACGUGGGUAAUCUACCUUGAAGCCCGGAAUAACUCCGAGAAAUCGGAGCUAAUACCGGAUGUGAUAUUGGGAUGGCAUCAUCCGAAUCUCAAAGUUGGGGACCGCAAGGCCUGACACUUCUAGAUGAGCCCGCGGCCUAUCAGCUAGUUGGUGAGGUAAAGGCUCACCAAGGCUAAGACGGGUAGCUGGUCUGAGAGGACGACCAGCCACACUGGAACUGAGACACGGUCCAGACACCUACGGGUGGCAGCAGUCGAGAAUUUUUCACAAUGGGCGCAAGCCUGAUGGAGCGACGCCGCGUGGGGAUGAUGGCUUCGGCCCCGUAAACCCCUGUCAUUUGCGAACAAACCUUUCGACCUAACACGUCGAGAGCUGAUUGUAGCGGAA
RNAcentral lists this ribosomal RNA (481 nucleotides) under uncultured bacterium. Its description in RNAcentral is "bacterial SSU rRNA". It matches the Rfam family "Bacterial small subunit ribosomal RNA", at positions 29 to 483 of the family's 1533-position model. The record is from RNAcentral.